This 429-nucleotide ribosomal RNA is filed under the name Gemmatimonadota bacterium. Its description in RNAcentral is "Gemmatimonadetes bacterium partial 16S ribosomal RNA". It matches the Rfam family "Bacterial small subunit ribosomal RNA", at positions 355 to 776 of the family's 1533-position model. The record is from RNAcentral. Lineage: Bacteria; Pseudomonadati; Gemmatimonadota.
UAGGGAAUCUUCGGCAAUGGACGAAAGUCUGACCGAGCAACGCCGCGUGAGUGAAGAAGGUUUUCGGAUCGUAAAACUCUGUUGUUAGAGAAGAACAAGGACGUUAGUAACUGAACGUCCCCUGACGGUAUCUAACCAGAAAGCCACGGCUAACUACGUGCCAGCAGCCGCGGUAAUACGUAGGUGGCAAGCGUUGUCCGGAUUUAUUGGGCGUAAAGCGAGCGCAGGCGGUUUCUUAAGUCUGAUGUGAAAGCCCCCGGCUCAACCGGGGAGGGUCAUUGGAAGCUGGGAGACUUAAGUGCAGAAGAGGAGAGUGGAAUUCCAUGUGUAGCGGUGAAAUGCGUAGAUAUAUGGAGGAACACCGGUGGCGAAGGCGGCUCUCUGGUCUGUAACUGACGCGGAGGCUCGAAAGCGUGGGGAGCAAACAGG